RNAcentral lists this ribosomal RNA (853 nucleotides) under fungal endophyte. RNAcentral describes it as "eukaryotic LSU rRNA". The stretch from base 534 to 853 matches the Rfam family "Eukaryotic large subunit ribosomal RNA", at positions 1 to 323 of the family's 3401-position model. Lineage: Eukaryota; Fungi. The record is from RNAcentral.
CCGAGUUUACAACUCCCAAACCCAAUGUGAACGUUACCAAACUGUUGCCUCGGCGGGAUCUCUGCCCCGGGUGCGUCGCAGCCCCGGACCAAGGCGCCCGCCGGAGGACCAACCAAAACUCUUAUUGUAUACCCCCUUCGCGGGUUUUUUUAUAAUCUGAGCCUUCUCGGCGCCUCUCGUAGGCGUUUCGAAAAUGAAUCAAAACUUUCAACAACGGAUCUCUUGGUUCUGGCAUCGAUGAAGAACGCAGCGAAAUGCGAUAAGUAAUGUGAAUUGCAGAAUUCAGUGAAUCAUCGAAUCUUUGAACGCACAUUGCGCCCGCCAGUAUUCUGGCGGGCAUGCCUGUCCGAGCGUCAUUUCAACCCUCGAACCCCUCCGGGGGGUCGGCGUUGGGGAUCGGCCCUCCCUUAGCGGGUGGCCGUCUCCGAAAUACAGUGGCGGUCUCGCCGCAGCCUCUCCUGCGCAGUAGUUUGCACACUCGCAUCGGGAGCGCGGCGCGUCCACAGCCGUUAAACACCCAACUUCUGAAAUGUUGACCUCGGAUCAGGUAGGAAUACCCGCUGAACUUAAGCAUAUCAAUAAGCGGAGGAAAAGAAACCAACAGGGAUUGCCCCAGUAACGGCGAGUGAAGCGGCAACAGCUCAAAUUUGAAAUCUGGUCCCUAGGGGCCCGAGUUGUAAUUUGUAGAGGAUGCUUUUGGUGAGGUGCCGCCCGAGUUCCCUGGAACGGGACGCCACAGAGGGUGAGAGCCCCGUCUGGCUGGCGCCGAGCCUCUGUAAAGCUCCUUCGACGAGUCGAGUAGUUUGGGAAUGCUGCUCAAAAUGGAGGUAUAUGUUCUUCUAAAGCUAAAUAU